RNAcentral lists this long non-coding RNA (319 nucleotides) under Elaeis guineensis (African oil palm). RNAcentral describes it as "long non-coding RNA (EGUI_LNC045339)". Lineage: Eukaryota; Viridiplantae; Streptophyta; Magnoliopsida; Arecales; Arecaceae. The record is from RNAcentral.
AAAGUCGACAGAUUUUAUUUUGAUGCACACCCUGCUCCUACAGUAGAUCAACUGUCGCCAACAUCCACUACAAGGGUUCUUUGAGAUCAUAUUUAUGUGUCAGUCAAAUUUUAGCAAUCUUAUUAUGAACAGUCGUACCAUCAUAGGUCAAAAGAUCAUACACACAACUAUAGCAUCGAGAUAAUCACUGACGAUCGAGUAGAAAUUCAAGUAAUCUCUCAUAUGGUCACGCUUAGUACUAAUUAUUCUCUAACAAUUAUCCGCACUCAUCGCUCAAUGUCUCUACAUUGUAAAUCAGAGACUCAUCUACCUUGAAGGA